AUGCUCUUCAAAAGCACUGGUCAUCGGACUCGGACUUGUCCAUGCCAGCCGUCAAAAUGAGCUAUAUGAAUUAUCUUGUUUUUGGGUGAGGUGUAAACGUAAUUAGGUUAGAUCUCAAUAACACGAUGACAAUU
Molecule: small nucleolar RNA, 134 nt
Filed under: Caenorhabditis brenneri
Lineage: Eukaryota; Metazoa; Nematoda; Chromadorea; Rhabditida; Rhabditidae
Description: snoRNA CBN33479
Rfam family: Caenorhabditis snoRNA ceN82
Source: Rfam by way of RNAcentral